GUGUUGAAAUGACAAUGGUUUUACCUACCUUGACAUGGUAGGGGUCACAGGUUCGAACCCUGUACCGCCCACCA
RNAcentral lists this transfer RNA (74 nucleotides) under Xanthomonas arboricola pv. juglandis. RNAcentral's name for it is "tRNA-Ser". Lineage: Bacteria; Pseudomonadati; Pseudomonadota; Gammaproteobacteria; Lysobacterales; Lysobacteraceae. The record is from RNAcentral.